CAUCGACAAAAAAUGCGAUAAUUUCUUGUAACAUCCGAACAGUCCUCUGCCGUUGUUACUCGCACCUGAACUUUGUGCUGCCUCGGCUAAACCUGAACAUUUUGCAUAUCAAAAUUGAAAGACUCACCACCGAUAAUGGAUACGUGGUCUUUUCCGCGUGACGAUCUGUCGGAACUAAUUUUAAUUUCUGAAACCAAAUGAUGACCAUUAGGCUGAGCAUUUAAUUAUACGUUGUAAUUAAAUCGUUUUUAAUAGAAUGCAACAACAUUGUUGUGAACACUUAAGGACUUAAUAAGAGCGGAGGCUUCUGCAAAAUCGAUUUGGUUUGUGCACGAACCAGCAAUAUAACGAGAGUCUAAUGAACCCCUACAAAUAAUUCAGGUCGUCCCGAUCUCGGCACCGAUCGGCGACAAACGCACCGUUCCGACCUCCACGAUCACGCGACGAUCGUGCGUCCGGGGACGAGUGUUCCCGUGGGGCCUCACUGUUCUAUCGUCGAAACGUUUGCUCCAUUCUCGUCACGAAGUUUGCCCUGGAAUAUUCCCGCGAGCCGACUUAAAAUGAACGAACUGUAUAUAUAAAUGAAGUACCUGAAGAGGAUCGGAAUAAUAAUCUACGUGUACCUACCGAAAACACGAGAUAACGAGUUUCGUUGGGACAAUUCCACGCAUCUAAGAAGAUCACGACAUACUACUCUACGAACACGAAGAAGGAGACGUGGGAGAUAGGUCGGUGCAGUCUGAGCUGACGUUAUGAGAAUACGAGAGGUGGAAUUUGGAAUGAUAGAAGUGAUUGUUCCGAAAUUACGAGCUACGAUCUUUUUCGUCGUUAACAAUGCCGAACGAUUUUCGAUUUGUAGUAUGAACACGAAAAGAGACGUGGAUGCGCCGAUCAAACAAAUCCCAGAGAGCUAUCCAACGUUGAAAAAAUAAUGGAAAAUUAAAUGAAAUGAAAAAUGAAGAAGUUUUCUUUUAAAAUGGAUACUUGAAGAUUUUCAUACGAAUUCAUUGGGUGGAAUUUAAGAAAAGCGGAAGACUAGAGUAACCAGAGGUAAUGGAAUAGAAUCCUGGCCUCGUUCUGCUCCGACUAUCACUUGCUUACACUCAUUUUGCAAAUGUACACAUAAACUUGAGCAACGAAAUACUGCUUUCCGAGUCAGUGAAAUAAAAAUAAAAGAUUUGCUAGCCAAUUACUGCUGUUAUCACUUUAAUGCUUACCGUUUCAGGGAGCACGUAAAAGGAAAUUAAAAAUUGAAACGAAAAUUUAAUAUGAAUAAUGUGGAAUAAAUUUUAU
RNAcentral lists this long non-coding RNA (1293 nucleotides) under Megachile rotundata (alfalfa leafcutting bee). Its description in RNAcentral is "uncharacterized LOC105661850, transcript variant X2". The record is from RNAcentral. Lineage: Eukaryota; Metazoa; Arthropoda; Insecta; Hymenoptera; Megachilidae.